CCCCCCCGCGCCCGCAUACGGCCCCGGCCCUAGCACCCAACCGCUGAAGACCCUCGAGACAAGCACCCUCAUCCACCCUCUCGCUGCGCGCGACAACAGAUCAGUCAAGAACCAACCAUGGAGCCCCCCAAAGCCCCACCCGGAGUCACCAUCGUUCUUUCCCACCCACCUGCCAAACAUCCAGACCAUGUAUCAAGCUGGGAUAUUUCAGGGGCGAAUUGUCUUGGGGUGAGAUUUCUUUGGGGCGAGUUGUCUGAUUCCCAUUCCGAAUGGACUUUGAAAGAAACGAACGACAACUUUGUAAGAAAACCCGCCAAUGGGGCUCGCGACCAAUCGGAUGGAUGCUAUGCCUGCUGGGAUAGCCAUGCUCUUUUUCGACGCGGACAGUGGACCCGACAUGACCGACUUAACGGACUCGACGUGACGGACUCGACCUAAUCAAUUUUCUUUAUUCUUAGACUUAAGUCUAAGAAUUGUUUGGUGAAUACGGGCCUAGCAGAUUCUUUUGUGCACGAGAUGCGGUCAAAAAGAAGAAAAGACGAAAGAACCAAUCCAGACUUGGUGGCAGAGGAAAGUAUAAAAAAGAAUGCAGAUCUUGGUGGAUUUUGUGUGGAUACAAUUCCACCUAAAGGUAUUUCUUGUUGACAGAUAGCCUUGACCUUAAGUCAUUUAAAGAAGUUUAUUAAUUUCAAUUUCAGCUGGCACUAUAUGUAUUUGCCUGUAUAUGUUUAAAGAAAUAAAAAGGGCAAACAAACAAUUAAACCUGGGAUACAGCCUUAGCCUCUCAAAAGGGGAAAAAUACCAUGUGACCAGCACUUUUGGGGAGAAAUUGCAAUAAAUCGUCAUAAACUAAAGGUUAAUUACAUGUUAUAACCAUUAUUUGCUCCAUUUAAA
Molecule: long non-coding RNA, 894 nt
Organism: Dreissena polymorpha
Lineage: Eukaryota; Metazoa; Mollusca; Bivalvia; Myida; Dreissenidae
Exons: 3
Source: RefSeq, a predicted model, not a curated record